GACGAACGCUGGCGGCGUGCUUAACACAUGCAAGUCGAACGGAAAGGCCCUGCUUUUGUGGGGUGCUCGAGUGGCGAACGGGUGCGUAACACGUGAGUAACCUGCCCUUGACUUUGGGAUAACUUCAGGAAACUGGGGCUAAUACCGGAUAGGAGCUCCUGCUGCAUGGUGGGGGUUGGAAAGUUUCGGCGGUUGGGGAUGGACUCGCGGCUUACCAGCUUGUUGGUGGGGUAGUGGCUUACCAAGGCUUUGACGGGUAGCCGGCCUGAGAGGGUGACCGGCCACAUUAGGACUGAGAGACGGCCCAGACUCCUACGGGAGGCAGCAGUGGGGAAUAUUGCACAAUGGGCGGAAGCCUGAUGCAGCAACGCCGCGUGCGGGAUGACGGCCUGCGGGUUGUAAACCGCUUUCGCCUGUGACGAAGCGUGAGUGACGGUAAUGGGUAAAGAAGCACCGGCUAACUACGUG
RNAcentral lists this ribosomal RNA (468 nucleotides) under uncultured bacterium. RNAcentral describes it as "partial 16S ribosomal RNA". It matches the Rfam family "Bacterial small subunit ribosomal RNA", at positions 28 to 507 of the family's 1533-position model. The record is from RNAcentral.